UGUAGCUGUUGAUGCUUUCUGGUAAGAUGUGUGUAAUUUACUCCUUAUUGCCAAACAUGAACUCAAAAUGAGGACUUCUACCUAGAAGAUAUUCAUAACAGUGCCCUGAGAUCAAAGUAUGCUGGCAGUGUAGAGGCACGGCCUGCUGGAAGAGUAGUUUCAUCUCUGGAUUUCUAGUUUUUCGCACUGUGGAAGGAAAAGCUCAUCAGGCUAAUAACAAUGAAGACUGCUGUAUUUGCCAGGCACUGUCUAAACCGCUUCCCAGGCAUCAAGCAGACAGCAAACGUCCGCAGCGAGCUCUAGUUCAUAGCAUCAUAGAACACAGAAUCAUUAAAGUUGGAAAAGACUGCUAAGAUCAUUUAGUCCAGCCAU
Molecule: long non-coding RNA, 372 nt
Filed under: Coturnix japonica (Japanese quail)
Lineage: Eukaryota; Metazoa; Chordata; Aves; Galliformes; Phasianidae
Description: lncRNA (ENSCJPG00005003108.1)
Source: RNAcentral